AGAGUUUGAUCAUGGCUCAGAACGAACGCUGGCGGCAGGCUUAACACAUGCAAGUCGAGCGCCUCGCAAGAGGAGCGGCAGACGGGUGAGUAACACGUGGGAAUCUACCCAUCCUUACGGAACAACUCCGGGAAACUGGAGCUAAUACCGUAUACGCCCUUCGGGGGAAAGAUUUAUCGAGGAUGGAUGAGCCCGCGUUGGAUUAGCUAGUUGGUGGGGUAAAGGCCUACCAAGGCGACGAUCCAUAGCUGGUCUGAGAGGAUGAUCAGCCACAUUGGGACUGAGACACGGCCCAAACUCCUACGGGAGGCAGCAGUGGGGAAUAUUGGACAAUGGGCGCAAGCCUGAUCCAGCCAUGCCGCGUGAGUGAUGAAGGCCCUAGGGUUGUAAAGCUCUUUCACCGGAGAAGAUAAUGACGGUAUCCGGAGAAGAAGCCCCGGCUAACUUCGUGCCAGCAGCCGCGGUAAUACGAAGGGGGCUAGCGUUGUUCGGAUUUACUGGGCGUAAAGCGCACGUAGGCGGAUCGAUCAGUCAGGGGUGAAAUCCCAGAGCUCAACUCUGGAACUGCCUUUGAUACUGUCGAUCUGGAGUAUGGAAGAGGUGAGUGGAAUUCCGAGUGUAGAGGUGAAAUUCGUAGAUAUUCGGAGGAACACCAGUGGCGAAGGCGGCUCACUGGUCCAUUACUGACGCUGAGGUGCGAAAGCGUGGGGAGCAAACAGGAUUAGAUACCCUAGUAGUCC
RNAcentral lists this ribosomal RNA (740 nucleotides) under uncultured bacterium. RNAcentral describes it as "bacterial SSU rRNA". It matches the Rfam family "Bacterial small subunit ribosomal RNA", at positions 8 to 796 of the family's 1533-position model. The record is from RNAcentral.